UACAGAGGUCCCAAGCGUUGUUCGGAUUUACUGGGCGUAAAGGGUGCGUAGGUGGUUGGGUAAGUCUGAUGUGAAAUCUCCGGGCUCAACCCGGAAAUGGCAUUGGAUACUAUUCGACUAGAGGGUUGGAGGGGGGACUGGAAUACCUGGUGUAGCAGUGAAAUGCGUAGAUAUCAAGUGGAACACCAGUGGCGAAGGCGAGUCCCUGGACAACUCCUGACACUGAGGCACGAAAGCUAGGGGAGCAAACAGG
RNAcentral lists this ribosomal RNA (253 nucleotides) under uncultured bacterium. RNAcentral describes it as "partial 16S ribosomal RNA". It matches the Rfam family "Bacterial small subunit ribosomal RNA", at positions 524 to 776 of the family's 1533-position model. The record is from RNAcentral.